GUGCUCACUUCGGCAGCACAUAUCUAAAAAUGCAAUGAUGCAGAGAAGAUUAGCAUGGCCCCACCCAAGGAUGAUAUGCAAAUUCGUGAAGCAUUCCAUAUGUUU
Perognathus longimembris pacificus (Pacific pocket mouse) is the source of this 105-nucleotide small nuclear RNA. NCBI's taxonomy places the organism in Eukaryota, Metazoa, Chordata, Mammalia, Rodentia, Heteromyidae. The record is from RefSeq and is a predicted model, not a curated record.